RNAcentral lists this long non-coding RNA (252 nucleotides) under Amborella trichopoda. RNAcentral's name for it is "long non-coding RNA (ATRI_LNC002977)". The record is from RNAcentral. Lineage: Eukaryota; Viridiplantae; Streptophyta; Magnoliopsida; Amborellales; Amborellaceae.
AUUGACAGUUUUCAAGAACUGGAUGUCUCUGAAUCUAGGUUGGAAUGUACAAAAUCUUUUCAAGUAAGAGAAACAAGGAUCACAUAUACGAUAGGGCUUUCUCUUGCUUGGUGCCAAAGAUGCAUUCAUGGUCUUAUGGCUGGAAUGCCAUUGAAGUGAACACUUUUUCUCUUAACUUAGUCUCCUGAUAGGCUGAUAUAUUUAUCCAUUUUCUACAGUAGAGUAUUUCAGAAGAGAGUUUGGGGGUUUCAG